UGAGGAAUAUUGGUCAAUGGACGCAAGUCUGAACCAGCCAAGUAGCGUGCAGGAUGACGGCCCUAUGGGUUGUAAACUGCUUUUAUAUGGGGAUAAAGUGGGGAACGUGUUCCCUUUUGCAGGGUCCAUAUGAAUAAGGACCGGCUCAUUCCGUGCCAGCAGCCGCGGUAAUACGGAAGGUUCGGGCGUUAUCCGGAUUUAUUGGGUUUAAAGGGAGCGUAGGCCGUUUGGUAAGCGUGUUGUGAAAUGUAGGAGCUCAACUUCUAGAUUGCAGCGCGAACUGUCAGACUUGAGUGCGCACAACGUAGGCGGAAUUCAUGGUGUAGCGGUGAAAUGCUUAGAUAUCAUGAAGAACUCCGAUUGCGAAGGCAGCUUACGGGAGCGCAACUGACGCUGAAGCUCGAAGGUGCGGGUAUCGAACAGG
This 424-nucleotide ribosomal RNA is filed under the name Verrucomicrobiota bacterium. Its description in RNAcentral is "Verrucomicrobia bacterium partial 16S ribosomal RNA". It matches the Rfam family "Bacterial small subunit ribosomal RNA", at positions 355 to 776 of the family's 1533-position model. Lineage: Bacteria; Pseudomonadati; Verrucomicrobiota. The record is from RNAcentral.